UACAGAGGGGGCGAGCGUUGUUCGGAAUUACUGGGCGUAAAGGGCGCGUAGGCGGCCAACUAAGUCAGACGUGAAAUCCCUCGGCUCAACCGGGGAACUGCGUCUGAUACUGGAUGGCUUGAAUUCGGGAGAGGGAUGCGGAAUUCCAGGUGUGGCGGUGAAAUGCGUAGAUAUCUGGAGGAACACCGGUGGCGAAGGCGGCAUCCUGGACCGGCAUUGACGCUGAGGCGCGAAAAGCUAGGGGGAGCAAAGCGGG
Molecule: ribosomal RNA, 256 nt
Filed under: uncultured bacterium
Lineage: Bacteria
Description: partial 16S ribosomal RNA
Rfam family: Bacterial small subunit ribosomal RNA
Source: RNAcentral